This 545-nucleotide ribosomal RNA is filed under the name uncultured Glomeromycotina. RNAcentral's name for it is "SSU rRNA". It matches the Rfam family "Eukaryotic small subunit ribosomal RNA", at positions 552 to 1098 of the family's 1831-position model. Lineage: Eukaryota; Fungi; Glomeromycota. The record is from RNAcentral.
AGGGCAAGUCUGGUGCCAGCAGCCGCGGUAAUUCCAGCUCCAAUAGCGUAUAUUAAAGUUGUUGCAGUUAAAAAGCUCGUAGUUGAAUUUCGGGAUCAAUUUAUUGGUCGUGCCAACGGUACGCACUGGUACAAUUGGUUUCUCCCUUCUGACGAAGCAUGAUGUCAUUAAUUUGAUGUCGUGGGGAAUCAGGACUGUUACUUUGAAAAAAUUAGAGUGUUUAAAGCAGGCUUUGGCUUGAAUACAUUAGCAUGGAAUAAUGAAAUAGGACGUUUGAUCUUAUUUCGUUGGUUUCUAAGAUCGACGUAAUGAUUAAUAGGGAUAGUUGGGGGCAUUAGUAUUCAAUUGUCAGAGGUGAAAUUCUUGGAUUUAUUGAAGACUAACUACUGCGAAAGCAUUUGCCAAGGAUGUUUUCAUUAAUCAAGAACGAAAGUUAGGGGAUCGAAGACGAUCAGAUACCGUCGUAGUCUUAACCAUAAACUAUGCCGACUAGGGAUCGGAUGAUGUUAAUUUUUUAAUGACUCAUUCGGCGCCUUACGGGAAAC